UAAGGAAUAUUGCUCAAUGGGAGAAAUCCUGAAGCAGCAACGCCGCGUGGAGGAUGAAGGGUCUAUGACUUGUAAACUCCUGUAAAGAAGGAAAAAAUUCCCAUUUGAUGGGAGGUGAUGGUACUUCUGGAGUAAGCCCCGGCUAACUACGUGCCAGCAGCCGCGGUAAUACGUAGGGGGCAAGCGUUGUCCGGAUUUACUGGGUGUAAAGGGUGCUCAGGCGGAUUUGUAAGUCAGAGGUGAAAUCUUACAGCUUAACUGUGAAACUGACUUUGAUACUGCAAGCCUAGAGGAUGGGAGAGAGUGAUGGAAUAUCUGGUGUAGCAGUGAAAUGCGUAGAUAUCAGAUAGAACACCAAUGGCGAAGGCAGUCACUUGGUCCAUUACUGACGCUAAAGCACGAAAGCGUGGGUAGCAAACA
Molecule: ribosomal RNA, 420 nt
Filed under: uncultured bacterium
Lineage: Bacteria
Description: bacterial SSU rRNA
Rfam family: Bacterial small subunit ribosomal RNA
Source: RNAcentral